GAUGAAGAACGCAGCGAAAUGCGAUACGUAAUGUGAAUUGCAGAAUUCAGUGAAUCAUCGAGUCUUUGAACGCACAUUGCGCCCCCUGGUAUUUCGGGGGGCAUGCCUGUCCGAGCGUCAUUGCUGCCCUCAAGCACGGCUUGUGUGUUGGGCCUCCGCCCCCCGGCUCCCGGGGGGCGGGCCCGAAAGGCAGCGGCGGCACCGCGUCCGGUCCUCGAGCGUAUGGGGCUUCGUCACCCGCUCCGUAGGCCCGGCCGGCGCCCGCCGGCGACCCCCCUCAAUCUUUCCAGGUUGACCUCGGAUCAGGUAGGGAUACCCGCUGAACUUAAGCAUAUCAAUAAGCGGAGGA
RNAcentral lists this unclassified non-coding RNA (349 nucleotides) under soil metagenome. RNAcentral describes it as "partial contains 5.8S ribosomal RNA, internal transcribed spacer 2, and large subunit ribosomal RNA". The stretch from base 1 to 120 matches the Rfam family "5.8S ribosomal RNA", at positions 35 to 154 of the family's 154-position model. The record is from RNAcentral.